ACGUUUCGAAAGGAACGCUAAUACCGCAUACGUCCUACGGGAGAAAGCAGGGGACCUUCGGCUUGAGGCUAUCAGAUGAGCCUAGGUCGGAUUAGCUAGUUGGUGCGGUGUAAUAGGCUCACCAAGGCGACGAUCCGUAACUGGUCUGAGAGGAUGAUCAGUCACACUGGAACUGAGACACGGUCCAGACUCCUACGGGAGGCAGCAGUGGGGAAUAUUGGACAAUGGGCGAAAGCCUGAUCCAGCCAUGCCGCGUGUGUGAAGAAGGUCUUCGGACUGUAAAGCACUUUAAGUUGGGAGGAAGGGCAGUAAGUUAAUACCUUGCUGUUUUGACGUUACCGACAGAAUAAGCACCGGCUAACUCUGUGCCAGCAGCCGCGGUAAUACAGAGGGUGCAAGCGUUAAUCGGAAUUACUGGGCGUAAAGCGUGUGUAGGUGGUUCGUCAAGUUGGAUGUGAAAGCCCCGGGCUCAACCUGGGAACUGCAUCCAAAACUGGCGAGCUAGAGUACGGUAGAGGGUGGUGGAAUUUCCUGUGUAGCGGUGAAAUGCGUAGAUAUAGGAAGGAACACCAGUGA
Molecule: ribosomal RNA, 576 nt
Filed under: uncultured Pseudomonas sp.
Lineage: Bacteria; Pseudomonadati; Pseudomonadota; Gammaproteobacteria; Pseudomonadales; Pseudomonadaceae
Description: bacterial SSU rRNA
Rfam family: Bacterial small subunit ribosomal RNA
Source: RNAcentral